CGAUUCAUACGCUGCGUAGCAUGCAGUCGAACGGCAGCACGGGAGCAAUCCUGGUGGCGAGUGGCGAACGGGUGAGUAAUACAUCGGAACGUGCCCAAUCGUGGGGGAUAACGCAGCGAAAGCUGUGCUAAUACCGCAUAAGAUCUACGGAUGAAAGCAGGGGAUCGCAAGACCUUGCGCGAAUGGAGCGGCCGAUGGCAGAUUAGGUAGUUGGUGAGGUAAAGGCUCACCAAGCCUUCGAUCUGUAGCUGGUCUGAGAGGACGACCAGCCACACUGGGACUGAGACACGGCCCAGACUCCUACGGGAGGCAGCAGUGGGGAAUUUUGGACAAUGGGCGAAAGCCUGAUCCAGCCAUGCCGCGUGCAGGAUGAAGGCCUUCGGGUUGUAAACUGCUUUUGUACGGAACGAAAAGUCUCUUUCUAAUAAAGAGGGAUCAUGACGGUACCGUAAGAAUAAGCACCGGCUAACUACGUGCCAGCAGCCGCGGUAAUACGUAGGGUGCAAGCGUUAAUCGGAAUUACUGGGCGUAAAGCGUGCGCAGGCGGUUAUAUAAGACAGUUGUGAAAUCCCCGGGCUCAACCUGGGAACUGCAUCUGUGACUGUAUAGCUAGAGUACG
This 619-nucleotide ribosomal RNA is filed under the name Variovorax sp. RNAcentral's name for it is "bacterial SSU rRNA". It matches the Rfam family "Bacterial small subunit ribosomal RNA", at positions 26 to 650 of the family's 1533-position model. Lineage: Bacteria; Pseudomonadati; Pseudomonadota; Betaproteobacteria; Burkholderiales; Comamonadaceae. The record is from RNAcentral.